GAAAUGCGAUAAGUAAUGUGAAUUGCAGAAUUCAGUGAAUCAUCGAGUCUUUGAACGCACAUUGCGCCCGCCAGCACUCUGGCGGGCAUGCCUGUUCGAGCGUCAUUUCAACCCUCAGAACCCCUUGCGGGAUCUGGCGUUGGGGAUUGGCAUCCAGCCAGCCCCGAAAUCUAGUGGCGGUCCCUCCGCGACCUCCCCUGUGCAGUAGCGAUACCUCGCAGCGGGACAGCGGUCUGACCACGCCGUAAAACCCCCAACUUCUCAAGGUUGACCUCGAAUCAGGUAGGAAUACCCGCUGAACUUAAGC
Molecule: unclassified non-coding RNA, 307 nt
Filed under: plant metagenome
Description: partial contains 5.8S ribosomal RNA, internal transcribed spacer 2, and large subunit ribosomal RNA
Rfam family: 5.8S ribosomal RNA (bases 1-105)
Source: RNAcentral